UACAGUCGGAAAAAAAACAGAAACACACACGGGCUCUCCUCUCUCUCCCUCGCCUCCCGAUCCCAACCGCCAGGAGGCGCCCCACCCCGCGCGACCUCGAUCCGGUGCCGCGCCGAUCUGGCGGCGGGUGCUGCGUCUUGCUCCGGUGGCGACGGGAGAAGGAGAGAUAGGGCGUGAGGGAGAGAAGAAAGAUAGGAAGAAAGGAGAAGGAGAAGGGGCACAAGGUGAGGGAGGCGGUCGCCGGCGGUGGUGGUUCCGGUGACCGGCCGGCGGGCAGGGAGACGAGCUCCUGUUGAGGCGACGGAGCUCGGUGCGGGAUGGUUCCUCCGGAUCGAGCCUUGGCUCUCCCCAGGUGUGCGGUUGCGGGCUUGGAUCGGGUUGAUCCUUCUCCCCUGCCCUCCCCCUCCAUGGCCAACAGCACAAGAUCUGGUCUGAACGAUAACUGGACCGAGCUCCCCGAUGACCCUGCUAGAGCUGCGUGAGGAUGAGGAGACCAUCACCUGCUCUAGCUAUUAAAUCAAUUAGAAGAGAUGGCUAUUGAUGAGGCCGAGCUUGAGCCUCUAGAAUUUGCUGAGAAAAUGCACACUCAACAGGAAAUUACAACAACAGUUGCGCAGGCAGUUGGAGAGUGCUGAUUUUGAUACAAGUGUAUCAAUCUUCACUCCGGAGCAGAUCCAAAGGAUUGUUGAGAAAUGCUCCAGUUGACAUAUUUGAAGAGAUGAGAGAUUUACAUUGCAUCCAGUCUUCUCCCUCUACUAUAGCCGAUGGUUGUAUUCCACCCAUACACGAAGCAUAUAAUUGCCGUCUAGCUUUACUUCAUGUAAUUUGCACUUUGCUCAGUGAAAGACUAUAAGUGUACUAAUUACAUUGGCAGUGGCACCUGUUGGAACUGUCCACCUGGCUCUGUCGAUUACCACCCAAGCUGCUGGCCUCCUUGCGGUGGUGGUCUUCACCCUCUUUCAUCACCAUGAAGCAGAUCAUCGUUGUGACGUUGUCCAGCACUGGCGAGAAGGGUGGCCCGCAUCGAGACGGCCAAGGUUGGGUGGUCUGCAGGUCAGGCUCGUUGGAAUGGUGACUGGCAAGAUGGAGAGGAAUACAGACGUGUCCUUCACCCUCGACAAUGACACUGGCUGCAUCAAUUUUUCAUCAGAUGGUAUAAUGGACUAGACUGGUUAAUGUUCUUUUAGCCAGCGUCAACAAAGAGAAGAGAGGCCGUGUGAUGGUUACAUUGUGGAGAGCCUGCCAUCUAUGAAAUGACAUCAUCCAUGGGCGAUGCUAAAAGUUCUAUUCAAAGCUGGGUUGAGUUCUUGGUUAAUUAUGUGAAGAUCAUUAAUGGAGACUACAAAAGGAUGAUCUCAAGAAAUCGUUGCAGACAUAUUUCUGCAAUCUGUAAUUCCUUCGCUAAACAUAGCAAUUGUGUAGCUCAUGAUCUUGCUUCCCUUGCUAGAGUGUCAGAUACUUCUGAAACCUGGGUGGGCACUGGGCAGUAUGGUGUGUAUGCAAAUGACUUUGUUAA
Triticum aestivum (bread wheat) is the source of this 1516-nucleotide RNA transcript. RefSeq lists it as uncharacterized. The record is from RefSeq and is a predicted model, not a curated record. Lineage: Eukaryota; Viridiplantae; Streptophyta; Magnoliopsida; Poales; Poaceae. The transcript has 6 exons.